Molecule: ribosomal RNA, 443 nt
Filed under: uncultured bacterium
Lineage: Bacteria
Description: partial 16S ribosomal RNA
Rfam family: Bacterial small subunit ribosomal RNA
Source: RNAcentral
CCUACGGGUGGCAGCAGUGGGGAAUAUUGGGCAAUGGGCGCAAGCCUGACCCAGCAACGCCGCGUGAAGGAAGACGGCCCUAGGGUUGUAAACUUCUUUUAUUAAGGACGAAACAAAUGACGGUACUGGCUGAAUAAGCCACGGCUAACGAAGUGCCAGCCGCCGCGGUAAUACGUAGGUGGCAAGCGUUAUCCGGAUUUACUGGGUGUAAAGGUCGUGUAGGCGGGACUGUAAGUCAGAUGUGAAAACCAUGGGCUAAACCCAGUGCUUGCAUUUGAAACUGUAGUUCUUGAGUGUUGGAGAGGCAGGCGGAAUUCCGUGUGUAGCGGUGAAAUGCGUAGAUAUACGGAGGAACACCAGUGGCGAAGGCGGCCUGCUGAACAACAACUGACGCUGAGGCGCGAAAGUGUGGGGAGCAAACAGGAUUAGAUACCCCUGUAGUC